GAAAACCUCACGGGGAUAAGACAAACGUAGGAUUGACAGAUUGAUCGCUCUUUCUUGAUUGUUUGGGUGGUGGUGCAUGGCCGUUCUUAGUUCGUGGAUUAAUUUGUCUGGUUAAUUCCGUUAACGAACGAGACCUUAACUUGCUAAUUGGGCUACAAUAUUAAUACUGUAUCCUAUUAGAAGGACCAUGUGUGUCUAACACAAGGAAGCGUGAGGCAAUAA
Molecule: ribosomal RNA, 222 nt
Filed under: uncultured eukaryote
Lineage: Eukaryota
Description: partial 18S ribosomal RNA
Rfam family: Eukaryotic small subunit ribosomal RNA
Source: RNAcentral